GGUACCGUAGCCAAGUGGUAAGGCAGGGGUCUGCAAAACCUCUAUCGUGGGUUCGAUUCCCGCCGGUACCUCCA
This 74-nucleotide transfer RNA is filed under the name Candidatus Magasanikbacteria bacterium CG11_big_fil_rev_8_21_14_0_20_39_34. RNAcentral's name for it is "tRNA-Cys". It matches the Rfam family "tRNA". Rfam says of the family: Transfer RNA (tRNA) molecules are approximately 80 nucleotides in length. Their secondary structure includes four short double-helical elements and three loops (D, anti-codon, and T loops). Lineage: Bacteria; Candidatus Magasanikiibacteriota. The record is from RNAcentral.